RNAcentral lists this ribosomal RNA (532 nucleotides) under Unaspis euonymi. Its description in RNAcentral is "eukaryotic LSU rRNA". Lineage: Eukaryota; Metazoa; Arthropoda; Insecta; Hemiptera; Diaspididae. The record is from RNAcentral.
AUCUGGGCGGCGGAAUUCAGGAUGGCCGGGCGGGUCUCGCGCUCGUCCGGGCAUUUGAUAUUUCCGUCGCCGUGUCAGACGUCGCGACCUGUUUGUCGUCGGUCCCUGCUCGGAGGAAUCGCGAUCGAGUUCGUUGCGGGCGCGUUUCGGCGUGUUCCGCGGCGAAGACGCGGCUCUCUGGCUGACGACGGACAGUAAGCAACGGUGUCCGAUGCCGUGUCUCGUACUCGGCGUCGGUGCCGGUCAGCGACGAUUUCUUCGGGCCUCUUUCCGACCCGUCUUGAAACACGGACCAAGGAGUCUAACAUGCGCGCGAGUCGCGGGGUUUCGAGCGUGCCACCGGUGCGCUCGUUACUUCCGAAACCCGUACGUUGAAGGCGUAAUGAAAGUGAACAGGGAAGAUGGCGUUCCGAGUCCACGUACCGUGAUCGAGUAUCGCGGCCGGACGUCCGCACUCCCGGGGCGUCUCAAUGGCUCGACUAGGAUGCGGACGGUCGUCUCUCGGGGCGGUCGUCGGUCUCUGUCGGACCGA